ACUCGAGUGGCGAACGGGUGAGUAACACGUGGGUGAUCUGCCCUGCACUUCGGGAUAAGCCUGGGAAACUGGGUCUAAUACCGGAUAGGACGAUAGUUUGGAUGCCAUUGUGGAAAGUUUUUUCGGUGUGGGAUGAGCUCGCGGCCUAUCAGCUUGUUGGUGGGGUAAUGGCCUACCAAGGCGUCGACGGGUAGCCGGCCUGAGAGGGUGUACGGCCACAUUGGGACUGAGAUACGGCCCAG
RNAcentral lists this ribosomal RNA (242 nucleotides) under uncultured Actinomycetales bacterium. RNAcentral's name for it is "partial 16S ribosomal RNA". It matches the Rfam family "Bacterial small subunit ribosomal RNA", at positions 89 to 334 of the family's 1533-position model. The record is from RNAcentral. Lineage: Bacteria; Bacillati; Actinomycetota; Actinomycetes; Actinomycetales.